GCCNUGCCGCGUGUGUGAAGAAGGCCUUCGGGUUGUAAAGCACUUUCAGCAGUGAGGAAGGCGGUGCCGUUAAUAGCGGUAUCGUUUGACGUUAGCUGCAGAAGAAGCACCGGCUAACUCCGUGCCAGCAGCCGCGGU
This 138-nucleotide ribosomal RNA is filed under the name uncultured Photobacterium sp. RNAcentral describes it as "partial 16S ribosomal RNA". It matches the Rfam family "Bacterial small subunit ribosomal RNA", at positions 391 to 521 of the family's 1533-position model. Lineage: Bacteria; Pseudomonadati; Pseudomonadota; Gammaproteobacteria; Vibrionales; Vibrionaceae. The record is from RNAcentral.